UAGCGUAUACUAAAGUUGUUGCAGUUAAAACGCUCGUAGUCGGAUUUCGGGGCGGGCCGACCGGUCUGCCGAUGGGUAUGCACUGGCCGGCGCGUCCUUCCUUCCGGAGACUGCGCCUACUCUUAGCUGAGCGGGCGUGGGAGACGGAUCGUUUACUUUGAAAAAAUCAGAGUGUUUCAAGCAGGCAGCUCGCUCUUGCAUGGAUUAGCAUGGGAUAAUGAAAUAGGACUCUGGUGCUAUUUUGUUGGUUUCGAACACCGGAGUAAUGAUUAACAGGGACAGUCAGGGGCACUCGUAUUCCGUCGAGAGAGGUGAAAUUCUCAGACCAACGGAAGACGAACCACUGCGAAAGCAUUUG
This 358-nucleotide ribosomal RNA is filed under the name Haptophyta environmental samples. RNAcentral describes it as "SSU rRNA". It matches the Rfam family "Eukaryotic small subunit ribosomal RNA", at positions 595 to 957 of the family's 1831-position model. Lineage: Eukaryota; Haptophyta. The record is from RNAcentral.